CUCUGGACUUAAUGGUUUGAGUGGUAAGAUUACAAAUCUGGAGGCCAGGGUUCAAUUCCCAGUUCAGCCA
This is a non-coding RNA of Phrynosoma platyrhinos (Desert horned lizard), 70 nucleotides long. The record is from the annotation of a GenBank genome assembly. Lineage: Eukaryota; Metazoa; Chordata; Lepidosauria; Squamata; Phrynosomatidae.